Oryctolagus cuniculus (rabbit) is the source of this 4728-nucleotide non-coding RNA. NCBI's taxonomy places the organism in Eukaryota, Metazoa, Chordata, Mammalia, Lagomorpha, Leporidae. The record is from RefSeq and is a predicted model, not a curated record.
GCGUCUUGCCCACCAGGCGCAGGAAGUGGAGCUGCGCAAUGAGGGGCGCCUGGAGCGCGCGCAGGGCCGGGCGCACUGGGGCUGGGACGGGUACUGGGCGCGCAAUACUCCAUGAGAGCCACCUGCGCCUGCUCCUGCAGCCUCUCCCUGCGCGCAGAGGCCGAGAGCGCCAUGACAUUGAGGCACCGGGCUCCACCGAGUCCCCCUGCAGGCGGCCCAGCUCCUCCACCUGCUCCUGGUCCAGGAAGGCCGCGCGCGCUUGGCCGGCAGUGGCGCCCUGUGCAGGCAGGGGCAGCGCUAAGAGCAGCCGCGCCGCCAGCGUUCUCACCUGGUCCAUGCCCAGCGCCGCGCCGCCGCCACCUGCACCUGCCGCGCCCACAGCUGCACCGCGAACAAGCCAGGAGGGCUGCCGGAGGAGGAGGCCAGCGCUGCUGGGCAGUGAUUAUGGGAUGCGGCCGCGCUGCAGCGCUGCGGGGCGGCAGGAGGGAGAGAGAGAAGGGCAGGGAGAAGACUGCCAGAGCGAGGCUCCCUCAGAGUCCCCCCACCCCAGCUCCAGGAGAGCCCGGGUGAGGAGGGGGCCUGGGGUCUUCCCCAGGUGGGACUGGGAGCUGGGGCCUCGCCCGCAGCAAGCAGGUGAGGUGGGAGGAGGGAAACCGAGGCAGGGAGGGCUGGCUGCCAGGCAGGGCAAAUUAAGGAGCCUUAAUGAGCCCGCCCACCUGGCCUGAUCGAAUCCAUGAGCUCCAGCCCUAGGCCAGCCUCACGCAGGGCACAUUACCAGCCCUGGAGGGGACUAGGGGCUGGAGGUGGGGCUGAGUCCUGCGGGGGUGGGGGUCAGCUGUGCAGUAGGAGUGGUCAAAUGGGGCCCAAAAGUGCUGCCCUGGUUAUAAGCCCCGCCUGCACCACUCCUCCCCCCCAUCCUACCCCAGGGCCUUUGCACCUGCUCACCCCCCCUUCUUCAAACCCCCACCCUCAACUCUCCCACCUCCAGCCCAGGCUGGGGCGUGGGGUUCAAAUCCCACCCACAACUCCCUCUUUAACACCAACCCCCGAAUUAACAAAUCUGCUUUAGAGCAGUAUUGGCCAUGGAGGAAGGGCUACCCUGGUGGCAACUGAAGCCAUGGGCUAUUUACUGAGGGCCAACUGUAUGCAGGGACCCUGGGGCACAACAGUGCACAAGACAAAGAGAGUCCCUGGAGAAGUCAUUGGGUUCCAAAGCAAAGUAAGGGGUUGUGAGCUGUGAUGGUGGGAGGCCGCGCAUGGGGUGGGGGAUGCAGCACGUGGCUGUAGGCACGCCCACCUGAGGGCCGGGCCAGCGGGAUUUCAGAUCAGCCACGUGAGAAGAGGGGGCACAGGUGAACCCCCCCAAACUGAAGGGAGUGGCUUUUCCAAGGGGCUCUGAGCCGACUUUAUCAGCUUCCCUCACAGACGCAGUGAGGGGGGAGGACUUCGAAAGCGCGAGAGACUGGGGUCAGACCCUGGGAAGAACCGGCAGACAGAAAGCAGGUGUAGCAGUGUUAGGAGCCGAUUGUCUAAUGAAUAUACAGGUGUGUGUUUUUAAAGCCUGAUAAUUUUAGACAUAACUUUCUCCAGGUUUUGUAUUUCUAUAUUUUAGUUUUCAUGUAUCCAUUUGAAAGGCAGAGAGUAAUUCUACUGUGUGUGUGUGGCAGGAACCCAAUUCCUUGAGCCCUCCUGUGCUGCCUCCCAGCGUCUGCAUUAGCAGGAAGUUAGAAAUGGAAACAACACUCAGAAGCCCUCAUUCCAUUGUAGCAAGGUUGUCUCAAGGGGAUUCUUAACCACUUGGCCAAAUGCUCGCUCCUGCUUACUACUUUUUAAACACCACUCUCUUACAUUACAUAGGCCCAGGAUCACAAAAAUUACCAAUUCCAAUGUUGGCAAAGCCAAUGAAAGUGGAGCUCUUACAAAAAAAAAAAAAAAGAAAGCCUAACGAAUUAUUUAAUUAGAAGUAUUAGCUUGAAUAAAAUAAUAGUUUGAGUUUCAUGUUUCAUCAGGUUAGAUAAGUGAUGGAUUUUCAAUAUCAAUAUACACUGAACAUAAAAAAGAUGUAAAAAUAUUUUCAACCAUCAAUAUUACACAUUUGCAAAAGCAGUGGAUGCUUGAAUAGUUCUACAAAAAUGUGUUCCAAAAUCAUGUGAUUAGUGUUUAAAUAAAGGAAAUGAAUGUUUAUCUCAAUGAACCAUUUCCAAAAGGGCAGAAAUACAAAAUAAAGCCCCUAACAUGAACUGGAUAUGACAAUAAUUAUCUUUGAAAAUUCAUUUUGUUUUAAGAACUGUUUCUGAAAACUAUAUUUUUUAAAAAGUAAACAAUAUUUUAAAGGGGAAUUACUAUCCAUGAUAUAAUAAAAUAUUUUCUGGAAUUCUUGAUCACAGUUUGAAGCCAGAUUUAAUUUAAAAAGUUACUAAAGGUGGGAAAUAAGGCAUACAAGAAAAACUUUUUAAUUUUUAAAUGUAUCUAUAUCUUUAAGCAUAUCAAAUGUCAAAAUGAGAUUAUUGAGAAAACACAUGGUAAUAGAGAAUUAUUAGAUUUAUUUCAAAAAUUCUUAUUGAAUUUUUAUAGGCUCUCAAAACUUGAUGUAGCAAUCUAUUUUUUCUGGGACCACUUUUGUUCCUUUGUCCACUCCUGUUAGCAUUAUUUGGCAAAAGUUGAACAGUGAGGUACACGUGAGAGAAUUAUUACUCAAUUUUCCUGGCCAGUUUUAGGUAAGAAAUCAGGAAACAACCACAACCACCACAACAAACACCACUUUCUCAAGAGCAUUUGCAGAUCAGUUCUGCAGACUUCAAACGUUUUCAGGUUUGGAAUGUUUAGACUACCGCUCUCAUGCUAAAUUCUCUGUGGCUUUCUUUCUAUUUCUGAAUUGCUUUUUACAAACAGAAUGCAGCAUAAGGGACUGACAGCAAAAUACACUGUUCCCCAGAUGGUUCAAAUAAUAACUAUGCCAAUUGUUUGUAUUUAUAUUGCAAACAUCAUAUUUUCACCUAAGUAUCACUUACCUCAAAUGUUAACUGAAUAUUUUUAUAGAAUUGUUUUUUAAGAUUUAUUUUCUUUGAAAGUCAGAGUUAUUCUACAAAAAGAAAUAGAUAUCAAUACAAGCAUAAUUUUUAUUCCUUCAAGUGAUUGAUAGAAAAGUAUGUUUUGUACCUUCAAUUUGAGCAGGAUCUCCCCAAAAUUAAAUUAGAUAGAUUGUUUACCAGUGUGAUAAAAUGUAUCUCACAAAGAGAAAAUAUGAUACAAAAAUAUAAUUUACUUUAUUUCUUGAAUACUCAUAUAUGUCUUGCUAGACUAAGUUAGAAUAGAAUCAAUAUAUUUUUGUCAAUCUAAUCAUUCUGAAACAAAAUCGAAUAAUGAGUAAUUUGGAAAUGUUUAUGAAUUAGUUUUCUGUUUAUUUCUAUGGAGGAAGGAGGAAUGAUGGUAAUGUUUCCAAAUUCUUCUGGUUAAAUGUGGAACAGUUAAAAAAUAACAUGAUAUAGUUGUAAGUAGGUCUUAGGCAUCCAAUCCAUGUGCAACCAUGCAUGACACAAAAUGUAUUAAGUUAAUAUAAUCAUUGACUUUCUCUCUCUCUCUCUCUCUUUUUUUUUUUUUUUGACCGGCAGAGUGGACAGUGAAAGAGAGAGAGAGAGAGAAAGGUCUUCCUUUUUCCGUUGGUUCACCCCCACAAUGGCCAGGAGCCAGGUGCUUCUCCUGGUCCCUUAGGUGGGUGCAGGGCCCAAGCACUUGGGCCAUCCUCCACUGCCUUCCCGGGCCACAGCAGAGAGCUAGACACUAGGAAGAGGAGCAACCAGGACAGAACUGGUGCCCCGACUGGGACUAGAACCCAAUGUGCCGGUGCUGCAGGUGGAGGAUUAGCCUGUUGAGCCACGUCGCCAGCCUAUAAUCAUUGACUGUGAAAUAGCGGAUGGAAGACCUCUCUCUCUCUCUCUCCCUCCCUCUUUCUCUCUCUCUCCCUCUUUUUCUCUCUCUCUGCCUCUCUGUAACUCUCUGCCUUUCAAAUAAAUAAAUAAAUCUUUAAAAAUAUUUGAUGAGAACUGACAUAUUAUUACUGCUUACUACUCAUAAGGAUCACUACAUGCAUCAUGUUACAGCAUAUGUGCUACAUGUGCUUUAUUUCUAAUACACUUUCCCCUCAUCUUGUGAACAUUAUUUCUAUGUUAUAAAUGAGACAAUUGAGGUAAAGUUUGCAUGAACAUGACACAGAUGGAAACUCUAACCCCAGGAUUUAAUCUGACACCAGGAUUUAAACACCUACGUCUUUAUCUGGCUCCAGAAUUGGGGUUUGUUUUUUUUUUAUUUGAAUUCUAUCUCAAACUCCUGUUUUUAGAGCAUUCAGGAUAAGAAGGUAAAGUACAGGAUUGUGAAAUGUGUGAGCACCAUCCAUAUGGUGACUCUCAUUCAUGUAAUUCCUCCACUUGCUGUGACUGGGUUGGUAAAUGGGGUGCUAUUUUCCUGCCCUGUACUUUAGGUAAUUACACUACUCAGCCUAAUCACCGUGUGAGCUUGACAGUGCAGGUUACAUUAGAUCUGUUGCACAUGAGCUGGGUACUACUCUUGGCUUCACUUCUGAGUUUUUGUGUGAAUUUGGGAAAACUACGCUUUUCUCUGUCUCAGUAUUCAUAUUUCUGAUAUUGGAAUAAUGAGGCUUUCAAGAUUCUCCAUAGGGAUAUUUUCUCCAUUGACCAUUCCAGAUUGGGAAAAAAAAAAAAAAACACGUAA